GACGAACGCUGGCGGCGUGCUUAACACAUGCAAGUCGAACGGAAAGGCCCUGCUUUUGUGCGCUGCUCGAGUGGCGAACGGGUGAGUAACACGUGAGUAACCUGCACCUGACUGUGGGAUAACUUCAGGACACUGGGGCUAAUACCGGCAAGGAGCUCCUGCUGUAUGGUGGGCGUUGGAAAGUUUCGGCGGUUGGGGGUGGACUCGCGUCUUAUCAGCUUGUUGGUUGGGUGGUGGAUUACCAAGGCCUUGACAGGUAGCAGGCCUGGUAGGGUGACCGGCCCAAUCGGGCUUGGACUACGACACAGCCUCGUACGGGAGGCGAGGGUGGAGUAGGUUGCACAGGGGGCGGAAGCCUGAUGUAGCACCGCCGCGCGGCGUAUGAGAGGCUUCGGGUUGUAUACCGCUUUCGUCUGUCACGAAGCGUUAGUGACGGUAAUGGGUAAAGAAGCACCGGCUAACUACGUG
RNAcentral lists this ribosomal RNA (468 nucleotides) under uncultured bacterium. RNAcentral describes it as "partial 16S ribosomal RNA". It matches the Rfam family "Bacterial small subunit ribosomal RNA", at positions 28 to 507 of the family's 1533-position model. The record is from RNAcentral.